UACGUAGGGGGCAAGCGUUGUCCGGAUUUAUUGGGCGUAAAGAGCGUGUAGGCGGUCAGGCAGGUCUGCUGUGAAAACUCGAGGCUCAACCUCGAGCUGUCGGCGGAAACCAUCUGGCUAGAGUCCGGAAGGGGAGAGUGGAAUUCCUGGUGUAGCGGUGAAAUGCGCAGAUAUCAGGAAGAACACCCGUGGCGAAGGCGGCUCUCUGGGACGGUACUGACGCUGAGGCGCGAAAGCGUGGGGAGCGAACAGG
Molecule: ribosomal RNA, 253 nt
Filed under: uncultured bacterium
Lineage: Bacteria
Description: partial 16S ribosomal RNA
Rfam family: Bacterial small subunit ribosomal RNA
Source: RNAcentral